Molecule: ribosomal RNA, 548 nt
Filed under: uncultured bacterium
Lineage: Bacteria
Description: bacterial SSU rRNA
Rfam family: Bacterial small subunit ribosomal RNA
Source: RNAcentral
AGCGAAAGCGUUAAGUAUCCCACCUGGGGAGUACGCCGGCAACGGUGAAACUCAAAGGAAUUGACGGGGGCCCGCACAAGCGGAGGAACAUGUGGUUUAAUUCGAUGAUACGCGAGGAACCUUACCCGGGCUUGAAUUGCGACUGACUGCAUCAGAGAUGAUGUUUCCAGCAAUGGCAGUCGUGAAGGUGCUGCAUGGUUGUCGUCAGCUCGUGCCGUGAGGUGUCGGCUUAAGUGCCAUAACGAGCGCAACCCUUUUCCCUGUUUGCCAUCGGGUAAUGCCGGGCACUCCAGGGAUACUGCCAUCGUAAGAUGUGAGGAAGGUGGGGAUGACGUCAAAUCAGCACGGCCCUUACGUCCGGGGCUACACACGUGUUACAAUGGGCGGCACAGAGGGCAGCGACCGCGCGAGCGGCAGCCAAUCCCGAAAUCCGCUCUCAGUUCGGACUGGAGUCUGCAACCCGACUCCACGAAGCUGGAUUCGCUAGUAAUCGCGCAUCAGCCAUGGCGCGGUGAAUACGUUCCCGGGCCUUGCACUCACCGCCCGUC